AGCGAACGCUGGCGGCAGGCCUAACACAUGCAAGUCGAACGAACCUUUCGGGGUUAGUGGCGGACGGGUGGGUAACCCGUGGGAACGUGCCUUUAGGUUCGGAAUAACUCAGGGAAACUUGUGCUAAUACCGAAUGUGCCCUUCGGGGGAAUGAUUAAUCGCCUUUGGAGCGGCCCGCGUCUGAUUAGCUAGUUGGUUGAGGAAAUGGCUUACCAAGGCGACGGUCAGUAGCUGGUCUGAGAGGAUGAUCCGCCACAUUGGGACUGAGACACGGCCCAAACUCCUACGGGAGGCAGCAGGGGGGAAUCUUGCGCGAUGGGCGAAAGCCUGACGCAGCCAUGCCGCGUGAAUGAUGAAGGUCUUAGGAUUGUAAAAUUCUUUCACCGGGGACGAUAAUGACGGUACCCGGAGAAGAAGCCCCGGCUAACUUCGUG
RNAcentral lists this ribosomal RNA (434 nucleotides) under uncultured bacterium. Its description in RNAcentral is "partial 16S ribosomal RNA". It matches the Rfam family "Bacterial small subunit ribosomal RNA", at positions 29 to 507 of the family's 1533-position model. The record is from RNAcentral.